RNAcentral lists this ribosomal RNA (376 nucleotides) under uncultured bacterium. Its description in RNAcentral is "bacterial SSU rRNA". It matches the Rfam family "Bacterial small subunit ribosomal RNA", at positions 524 to 898 of the family's 1533-position model. The record is from RNAcentral.
CACGUAGGAGGCGAGCGUUAUCCGGAUUUACUGGGCGUAAAGCGCGUGUAGGCGGCUCGGAAAGUUGGAUGUGAAAGCUCCUGGCUUAACUGGGAGAGGUCGUUCAAAACUACCGAGCUAGAGUACGAGAGAGGGAGGUGGAAUUCCGGGUGUAGUGGUGAAAUGCGUAGAUAUCCGGAGGAACACCAGUGGCGAAAGCGGCCUCCUGGCUCGAAACUGACGCUCAGACGCGAAAGCUAGGGUAGCAAACGGGAUUAGAGACCCCGGUAGUCCUAGCUGUAAACGAUGUAGACUUGGCGUAGGUGGGUUCAAAUCCAUCUGUGCCGAAGCAAACGCGAUAAGUCUACCGCCUGGGGACUACGGCCGCAAGGUUAAA